This 501-nucleotide ribosomal RNA is filed under the name uncultured bacterium. RNAcentral describes it as "partial 16S ribosomal RNA". It matches the Rfam family "Bacterial small subunit ribosomal RNA", at positions 30 to 523 of the family's 1533-position model. The record is from RNAcentral.
AUUGAACGCUGGCGGCAGGCUUAGCACAUGCAAGUCGAGCGGAGAGAGGUAGCUUGCUACUGAUCUUAGCGGCGGACGGGUGAGUAAUGCUUAGGAAUCUGCCUAUUAGUGGGGGACAACAUUUCGAAAGGAAUGCUAAUACCGCAUACGUCCUACGGGAGAAAGCAGGGGAUCUUCGGACCUUGCGCUACUAGAUGAGCCUAAGUCGGAUUAGCUAGGUGGUGGGGUAAGGGCCGACCAAGGCGACGAUCUGUAGGGGGUCUGAGAGGAUGAUCCGCCACACUGGGACUGAGACACGGCCCAGACUCCUACGGGAGGCAGCAGUGGGGAAUAUUGGACAAUGGGCGCAAGCCUGAUCCAGCCAUGCCGCGUGUGUGAAGAAGGCCUUAUGGUUGUAAAGCACUUUAAGCGAGGAGGAGGCUACUUUAGAUAAUACCUAGAGAUAGUGGACGUUACUCGCAGAAUAAGCACCGGCUAACUCUGUGCCAGCAGCCGCGGUAA